AGCUUUGCGCAGUGGCAGUAUCGUAGCCAAUGAGGUUGAUCCGAGGCGCGAUUAUUGCUAAAACAUUUAAUCUUCCCAUUAGGCACAUAGUAUAUCUUCCCAGUUUUCCAAAUCCUCUUUUAUGCAUCAGUAAAAUUUUAUAAUUUUCUUAAUAU
Molecule: small nuclear RNA, 155 nt
Gene: U4
Rfam family: U4 spliceosomal RNA
About the family: U4 small nuclear RNA (U4 snRNA) is a component of the major U2-dependent spliceosome.
Source: Ensembl